RNAcentral lists this ribosomal RNA (492 nucleotides) under uncultured bacterium. RNAcentral describes it as "partial 16S ribosomal RNA". It matches the Rfam family "Bacterial small subunit ribosomal RNA", at positions 29 to 507 of the family's 1533-position model. The record is from RNAcentral.
AUUGAACGCUGGCGGCAUGCUUUACACAUGCAAGUCGAACGGUAACAGGCCAUCGGGUGCUGACGAGUGGCGAACGGGGGAGUAAUGCAUCGGAACGUGCCCAGAGGUGGGGGAUAACGCAGCGAAAGGUGUGCUAAUACAGCAUGUGAUCUGAGGAUGAAAGCGGGGGACAAGGCAGCAAUGUUUGGCCUCGCGCGUUUGGAGCGGCCGAUGUCUGAUUAGGUAGUUGGUGGGGUAAAGGCCUACCAAGCCGACGAUCUGUAGCUGGUCUGAGAGGACGACCAGCCACACUGGGACUGAGACACGGCCCAGACUCCUACGGGAGGCAGCAGUGGGGAAUUUUGGACAAUGGGCGCAAGCCUGAUCCAGCAAUGCCGCGUGCGGGAAGAAGGCCUUCGGGUUGUAAACCGCUUUUGUACGGAACGAAAAGGCUCUGGCUAAUACCUGGGGCUGAUGACGGUACCGUAAGAAUAAGCACCGGCUAACUACGUG